AUUGAACGCUGGCGGCAGGCCUAACACAUGCAAGUCGAGCGGAUGAAGGGAGCUUGCUCCUGGAUUCAGCGGCGGACGGGUGAGUAAUGCCUAGGAAUCUGCCUGGUAGUGGGGGAUAACGUCCGGAAACGGGCGCUAAUACCGCAUACGUCCUGAGGGAGAAAGUGGGGGAUCUUCGGACCUCACGCUAUCAGAUGAGCCUAGGUCGGAUUAGCUAGUUGGUGGGGUAAAGGCCUACCAAGGCGACGAUCCGUAACUGGUCUGAGAGGAUGAUCAGUCACAUGGGAACUGAGACACGGUCCAGACUCCUACGGGAGGCAGCAGUGGGGAAUAUUGGACAAUGGGCGAAAGCCUGAUCCAGCCAUGCCGCGUGUGUGAAGAAGGUCUUCGGAUUGUAAAGCACUUUAAGUUGGGAGGAAGGGCAGUAAGUUAAUACCUUGCUGUUUUGACGUUACCAACAGAAUAAGCACCGGCUAACUUCGUG
Molecule: ribosomal RNA, 484 nt
Filed under: uncultured bacterium
Lineage: Bacteria
Description: partial 16S ribosomal RNA
Rfam family: Bacterial small subunit ribosomal RNA
Source: RNAcentral